GUGCUAGCAUUAGCAACUCAUUCACUGAAAAUUGGAAAGAUAAUUGAGAAGAUUAGCAUGGCCCCACGUGAGGAUGGCAUAUACAUUUGUGAAGCAUUCUGUAUCUUA
Perognathus longimembris pacificus (Pacific pocket mouse) is the source of this 108-nucleotide small nuclear RNA. Lineage: Eukaryota; Metazoa; Chordata; Mammalia; Rodentia; Heteromyidae. The record is from RefSeq and is a predicted model, not a curated record.